UCACCACCUGUUAUUGGGUGGUUUGACUCUAUAAAUACGAACUAUCCAAUUAGAUGUGGUGAACGCCUCUUCCAAGUGCUCAAGUUUGAUAUCCUUGUUACCAAUUUCAACUCCUCUAGCACGAUCGUACCCAGGAGGCUUGCCAUAUUCUGUUACUAACUCUCCAAACCGAUAAUAUGAAAGCUUGUACAUUAGACAAUUCAACAUCUUGGGAG
RNAcentral lists this unclassified non-coding RNA (215 nucleotides) under Hevea brasiliensis (rubber tree). The record is from RNAcentral. Lineage: Eukaryota; Viridiplantae; Streptophyta; Magnoliopsida; Malpighiales; Euphorbiaceae.